GGAAAAACAAUUUCACUAAGGAAAUGCGCACUUAACUCAAUUGGGGAAGAAAUAAACUUCAACACAGGAGGAGCAGAAAUCUAUUAUCCACUACCUGUUACUGGGUAAGGAGAUAAUAAAGAUCUGACAGAGAGGGCAUCCGUCAUCGGUUAGGAUGAACAUAUCAAGGAUGACUCGCUGAGAACCACCAGGAGGGAGUAUUCAUUAUCGGUUAUUGGGUAAG
RNAcentral lists this long non-coding RNA (223 nucleotides) under Lathyrus oleraceus (garden pea). RNAcentral describes it as "Pisum sativum (pea) long non-coding RNA (PSAT_LNC034836)". The record is from RNAcentral. Lineage: Eukaryota; Viridiplantae; Streptophyta; Magnoliopsida; Fabales; Fabaceae.